Eriocheir sinensis (Chinese mitten crab) is the source of this 462-nucleotide long non-coding RNA. RefSeq lists it as uncharacterized. NCBI's taxonomy places the organism in Eukaryota, Metazoa, Arthropoda, Malacostraca, Decapoda, Varunidae. The record is from RefSeq and is a predicted model, not a curated record. The transcript is spliced from 3 exons.
GAGAGAGAGUUCUUCUACACCGAGAAAAUCAACCUUCGAAGAGAAAAGUAAUCAAAUGAGACUUCAAUCCAUUUGGGCCGAGGCAGCAGAGGCGGCGGCAGCGGUAGGGGGCAGCUUCCGGGUAGCUUAAUGGCUGUCAGUGACAACCAUGAUAAAGACACUGCAAUACUCACCCAUGGUCAUGAAGUCGUCUUCGAUGAUCUUGCUGACGCAGGGCCGCUGCAGAGGGUCAGCCUGCAGCAGUUUCUGGAUGAGAGAGCGAGCGAGGGGGCCGACACGGGAGGGGAUGUGGUAUUCGUUCUUCUUAAUUCUCAGGAUACAACCAAUGGACCAGACAUCAACUUCAUAGCUGUGACCCUUCUUGCACAGGAUCUCAGGAGCAAUGUAGUUGGGAGUGCCACACAGGGUUCUGAAGACCAGAGACAAAGGAUUAAGAUAAGACAACCUGCAUUUUCUUUUUCU